Cervus elaphus (red deer) is the source of this 341-nucleotide long non-coding RNA. RefSeq lists it as uncharacterized. NCBI's taxonomy places the organism in Eukaryota, Metazoa, Chordata, Mammalia, Artiodactyla, Cervidae. The transcript has 3 exons. The record is from RefSeq and is a predicted model, not a curated record.
CACCGGACAUUUUACUGUGGGAAACCAGGGACCCGGGGGACUGGCCGCCAUACAGCUCCCGCUGAAGAUGUCCUGAAAAACAGACUCCAGGCAUCGCAGGAAUUACUGAAUUUCCAAAGGAAAGGCCAUGUGAGGACACAGCAGCCUGACAACCAACUGCAAGCCAGGAAGAGAGUCCUCACCAGAACCUGGGCAUGCAUGCUGGCAUCCUCAUCUCAGACCUCCCAGUCUCCCGGACUGUGAGAAAGUAGACAUCUUUUGUUUGAGCCACCCAGUAUAUGGACACCGGCUUAAAGGAAUCCAGUGUGUGAAGCCGUGAGCCCAGUAAUUGUUCCUUGUGG